GCAUAUCAAUAAGCGGAGGAAAAGAAACCAACAGGGAUUGCCUUAGUAGCGGCGAGUGAAGCGGCAAGAGCUCAAAUUUGAAAUCUGGUACCUUCGGUGCCCGAGUUGUAAUUUGAAGAAAGCUGUCUUGGAAUUGGCCUUUGUCUAUGUUCCUUGGAACAGGACGUCACAGAGGGUGAGAAUCCCGUGCGAUGAGGUGUCCAAUUCCGUUUAAGACGUUUUCGAAGAGUCGAGUUGUUUGGGAAUGCAGCUCUAAGUGGGUGGUAAAUUCCAUCUAAAGCUAAAUAUUGGCGAGAGACCGAUAGCGAACAAGUACUGUGAAGGAAAGAUGAAAAGAACUUUGAAAAGAGAGUGAAAAAGUACGUGAAAUUGUUGAAAGGGAAGGGUAUUCAAUCAGACUUGGUUUUAAGUUAUCAUUACUCCUUGUGGGUGGUGCUCUAGCUUUUUACUGGGCCAGCAUCAGUUUUGGUGGCAAGAUAAUAACAGUUGAAUGUAUCUCCUUUUGGAGUGUUAUAGCUUCUGUUGAUAUUGCCUACUGAGACUGAGGUCUGCGGCUUUUGCCUAGGAUGCUGGCGUAAUGAUUGAAUACCGCCCGUCUUGAAACACGGACC
This 611-nucleotide ribosomal RNA is filed under the name Ogataea glucozyma. Its description in RNAcentral is "eukaryotic LSU rRNA". It matches the Rfam family "Eukaryotic large subunit ribosomal RNA", at positions 38 to 667 of the family's 3401-position model. The record is from RNAcentral. Lineage: Eukaryota; Fungi; Ascomycota; Pichiomycetes; Pichiales; Pichiaceae.